Molecule: unclassified non-coding RNA, 789 nt
Filed under: Hevea brasiliensis (rubber tree)
Lineage: Eukaryota; Viridiplantae; Streptophyta; Magnoliopsida; Malpighiales; Euphorbiaceae
Source: RNAcentral
CUUUUGAUGUGAAAAUGAUUGUUAGAAAAAUCUUGGAGUCUGCAACAGGUACUAAGUCAGAAGAUCUUGAGCUAGAGGUAUUGAAAUCUCAACUAGGAAAUAUUAUGUAUUCUAAAAGAUAUCUAUUAGUGUUGGAUGAUGUGUGGAAUGAAAAUAGGGAGAAAUGGGAUAAUCUAAAGAAAUUAUUAGAGGGUGGCUCUAGUGGAACUAAGAUAUUAGUAACUACUCGCUCUGAAAGAGUAGCACAAAUAUCUAGCACUGUGAAACCAUAUGUUCUGAAAGCCUUAUCCCCCUCUGAAUCUUGGUCUUUGUUCCUUCAAGUAGCGCUUAAGGGACAAGAACCAAAAGAUUCAAAUAUAAAAGUAAUUGUAGAGAAGAUUGUAAACAAAUGUGUUGGAGUUCCUCUUGCAAUAAAGACAAUUGCAAGUAUUUUAUGCUUUAAAAAUCCAGAAACUGAAUGGCUAGUUUUCUUACAAGAGGAACUCUCUAAGAUAGCUCAGAAUGAGAAUGACAUUUUGCCAACCCUUCAAUUGAGUUACGAUCAUCUGCCAUCACAUUUGAAGCAUUGUUUUGUAUAUUGUGCAUUAUUUCUCAAGGAUUAUGAUAUUGAUGUGAAAACAUUAAUUCAUCUUUGGAUUGCCCAAGGAUUCAUUGAGUCAUCAAAUUCAAGUCUAUGUGUUGAAGACAUAGGGCUCGAGUAUUUUAAGGAUUUAUGGUGGGGGUCAUUUUUUCAGGAAGUGGAAAGAGAUAGCUUUGGCAAUAUAAAAAGUUGCAAAAUGCAUGAUUUGA